AUUGAACGCUGGCGGCAUGCUUUACACAUGCAAGUCGAACGGUAACAGGCCUUCGGGUGCUGACGAGUGGCGAACGGGUGAGUAAUGCAUCGGAACGUACCCAGAGGUGGGGGAUAACGCAGCGAAAGCUGUGCUAAUACCGCAUGUGAUCUGAGGAUGAAAGCGGGGGACCGAGCAGCAAUGUUUGGCCUCGCGCCUUUGGAGCGGCCGAUGUCGGAUUAGCUAGUUGGUGGGGUAAAGGCCUACCAAGGCGACGAUCCGUAGCUGGUCUGAGAGGACGACCAGCCACACUGGGACUGAGACACGGCCCAGACUCCUACGGGAGGCAGCAGUGGGAAAUUUUGGACAAUGGGCGCAAGCCUGAUCCAGCAAUGCCGCGUGCGGGAAGAAGGCCUUCGGGUUGUAAACCGCUUUUGACAGGAACGAAACGGUGUCCGCUAAUACCGGGCGCUAAUGACGGUACCUGCAGAAUAAGCACCGGCUAACUACGUG
This 492-nucleotide ribosomal RNA is filed under the name uncultured bacterium. RNAcentral describes it as "partial 16S ribosomal RNA". It matches the Rfam family "Bacterial small subunit ribosomal RNA", at positions 30 to 507 of the family's 1533-position model. The record is from RNAcentral.